RNAcentral lists this ribosomal RNA (549 nucleotides) under Triticum aestivum (bread wheat). Its description in RNAcentral is "partial small subunit ribosomal RNA". Lineage: Eukaryota; Viridiplantae; Streptophyta; Magnoliopsida; Poales; Poaceae. The record is from RNAcentral.
AUGGCGACGGCCUUCGCUGAGCAUGCACGCCACUGCGACAGAAGCACGAGGCCAUGGAGGGGCUCACGCAGCGCGGCGGCUGUGCAGGUGGCUCGCAGCUCGACCUUGGGCGGACGGCGUCUACCGUGGGUGGUGCGCGGCCAGGCGGAACUCAUGCCGCGAUGGCGCGUGCUCUCGGUGGCCGUGAUAGCACGCGUCGGUGAGCGUGAGGGACCAUCACAGGCAGCUGUGUCGUCGUAUAGUGUAGCCGCGGCCCGCUGCAACGUAAGGAACUCACCGAGCGGCGGCUGGAUCGAGCCGGAGAGCAGUGCCGUGUUGAUGGCCAGUGUGUCCAGGUUCUGGAGUCGGCUAAGCUCGCCGGGAGGGGGCCAGAGAUGUUGGUCUCCGCGAGGCCGAGCAUGGUGUGGUUGGAACAGUUGCCGAUCUUCGGUGGAGCCGUGGAGGAUGCCGUCAUGUACCAGGAAUCACGUCGCGCACCCAGAAGGUGGGGCUAGCCAACGGAGACGUCGUCGGGAUCCAGAGCAUGUACGCGGGCAACCCGAGCUUUAA